This 323-nucleotide ribosomal RNA is filed under the name Marenzelleria sp. CFS-1997. RNAcentral's name for it is "partial 16S ribosomal RNA". It matches the Rfam family "Bacterial large subunit ribosomal RNA", at positions 2048 to 2560 of the family's 2925-position model. Lineage: Eukaryota; Metazoa; Annelida; Polychaeta; Spionida; Spionidae. The record is from RNAcentral.
UUUUUACUUCUAAAAAAUUAUCCUUUAAGUGAAGAGACUUAAAUAAAAUAAAAAGACAAAAAGACCCUAUUGAGCUUUAUUUCAUAAGUUAAGCUCCUAUACGUUACGCAAAAGAACUUUACCUACAGAAAUUUUGUUGGGGCGACAAGAGAAGACCUAAAUCUUCUCUAUACUACAAGAAUAUACCUCUACUAAUGAUCCGUAAUAAACGAUUAACAGAACCAGCUACCAUAGGGAUAACAGGCUAAUCUUCUUUGAGAGCCCAAAUUGACAAGAAGGAUUGGCACCUCGAUGUUGGCUUAGGAUACCUGAUAGAUGCAGAA